GCUGGGUGUGGUGGCUCACACCUGUAAUCCAAGCACUUUGGAGGCCAGGGUGGGCGGAUCACCUGAGGUUGGGAUUUCAAGACCAGCCUGACCAACAUGGUGAAACCGUGUCUUAAAAAAUAAUAAAAAAAUAAAAAAGAUGGGGUUUCACCAUGAUUGCCAGGCUGGUCUUGAACUCCUUACCUCAGGUGAUCCACCCACCUC
RNAcentral lists this small RNA (204 nucleotides) under Callithrix jacchus (white-tufted-ear marmoset). RNAcentral describes it as "Metazoan signal recognition particle RNA (ENSCJAG00000055120.2)". It matches the Rfam family "Metazoan signal recognition particle RNA". From Rfam's summary of the family: The signal recognition particle (SRP) is a universally conserved ribonucleoprotein. It is involved in the co-translational targeting of proteins to membranes. The eukaryotic SRP consists of a 300-nucleotide 7S RNA and six proteins: SRPs 72, 68, 54, 19, 14, and 9. Lineage: Eukaryota; Metazoa; Chordata; Mammalia; Primates; Cebidae. The record is from RNAcentral.